Salvia miltiorrhiza (redroot sage) is the source of this 702-nucleotide long non-coding RNA. RefSeq lists it as uncharacterized. The record is from RefSeq and is a predicted model, not a curated record. Lineage: Eukaryota; Viridiplantae; Streptophyta; Magnoliopsida; Lamiales; Lamiaceae. The transcript is spliced from 3 exons.
AUGGCUUAUUCACAUGGAAUCACUCCUCUAAAUGGGUACAAAAUGUGGCCUGUUGUCGAUGGAAAUCCUGUUAAAUCACCACAUCAUCAAGUCAUGCCUGGCAGGCCUAAAAAGAAUAGAAAAAAAGGCAUUGAAGAGAAGGAUUGUGAGGGCCGCUCAAAGUUACUGCGAUUAGGCCUAACAAUGACAUGCCAAAACUGUCAAGGAGAAGGCCACAACAAAAGGACAUGUAAAAAUCCACAAGUUAUGAAACCACCAAAACUUGAGAACCAUGGAAGGCUAAGAAAAAUAGCUUCUGAAGAUCAAUCACAAUCUAGAGAUCAAUCACAAUCUGGAGAUCAAUGAUCUAAUAUUUUCAGAGAAAGAGCACAGGUAAGUAUACGAGUGUUAUAGCUUUUUCGAUUCUAAAUGGAUAUACCUAUGUUUCUACAUGUGAGACAGGGAAUGGGCGUGUUUGUUGGUGAUUCUGGUAAUGCAUACGUGAGGGGCUCUAUGGCAAAUAAAUCCAUUACACAAGUUAGUACAGCUUGUAAUGCCUCAUCAGGUCGAGGAUGUAGUCAAAAUCGCGGCCGUGAUCGUGGUCGUGUCACUGGUAGUGGAAUUACAAGAAGGAGUGUUGGACGAGGAAACAUGGAUGAAACACAAGAGAGCUGCAAUUGAUGAUAUUACUUUGAUAAUAUUAACAGUAGGACAUGGUGUUUU